GAAUAAAUAUUCGACAGACAUUUCACACGUCUCUAUAUUUGUACAAAGUGUGUUUAUUAUGAUAAAAUAAUUUCAAUGAAAGUACGCUGGUACAAUACCGGUGAUAUACCUACCCUGAAAAAAGAAUAACAAUAAUAAAACUCGAGGGUUACUUCUUACAAGAUGGCGUUACUAUUGCGACAUUGAGUGGGUCUUGCGUUGGAGAAAAAAUUCUAUUAUAUAAAAAUCUCAGGCAGGAGUGACGGAAUCUGACGCCUUCGAUCCCAAAAACCGCACACACGUCCAUCUGCAGAUCAAUUUCACGGGUCUCCGCAAGUAAUAUCCGGCUGUUAACCAACGAAGAACGGUUUUUUUGGCGGCAGCGGCGGCGGCACAACGUCGUACGUGGAUUCGACAAUUUCGAACGAGCUGCUGCGGCGGGUGAGAACAACUCGUCGUCCUUCCCUUCGACGUCCGAUCGGUAAAAUGCUAGAUCACACACUAGCCUGGCUAAAAAGACGACUAGCCACGGCCUCGUCACGUGAUGAUUGCGUCACUCUACUCGAUUGCCCCACACCACCAGCUACGGCGAACCGGGCGGCCAUCUUUACCCAGUAGAAGAACAACGGACGGCAAUAGUUCUGCAGGUGAAGGGUGGGUGCAGCUGAUGGGGGGGAUGUGAACCACAGUUACUGUGAAUGGAACAGGUACCGUAAUCAACAGUCUUCCGGAACAAAACGGAGAAAAACAAAACAACAACUCACGAGUUUCGGUGUACGCAAUAGACGGAAUUCGAACAGAAUUACGAUCCGAAAAUAAAAAAAGAAAGCUGUGGUCAGUAA
Neodiprion virginianus is the source of this 821-nucleotide long non-coding RNA. RefSeq lists it as uncharacterized. The record is from RefSeq and is a predicted model, not a curated record. Lineage: Eukaryota; Metazoa; Arthropoda; Insecta; Hymenoptera; Diprionidae. The transcript is spliced from 4 exons.